GACGAACGCUGGCGGCGUGCUUAACACAUGCAAGUCGAACGGAAAGGCCCUGCUUUUGUGGGGUGCUCGAGUGGCGAACGGGUGAGUAACACGUGAGUAACCUGCCCUUGACUUUGGGAUAACUUCAGGAAACUGGGGCUAAUACCGGAUAGGAGCUCCUGCUGCAUGGUGGGGGUUGGAAAGUUUCGGCGGUUGGGGAUGGACUCGCGGCUUAUCAGCUUGUUUGUGGGGUAGUGGCUUACCAAGGCUUUGACGGGUAGCCGGCCUGAGAGGGUGACCGGCCACAUUGGGACUGAGAUACGGCCCAGACUCCUACGGGAGGCAGCAGUGGGGAAUAUUGCACAAUGGGCGGAAGCCUGAUGCAGCAACGCCGCGUGCGGGAUGACGGCCUUCGGGUUGUAAACCGCUUUCGCCUGUGACGAAGCGUGAGUGACGGUAAUGGGUAAAGAAGCACCGGCUAAAUACGUG
Molecule: ribosomal RNA, 468 nt
Filed under: uncultured bacterium
Lineage: Bacteria
Description: partial 16S ribosomal RNA
Rfam family: Bacterial small subunit ribosomal RNA
Source: RNAcentral